Molecule: ribosomal RNA, 491 nt
Filed under: uncultured bacterium
Lineage: Bacteria
Description: partial 16S ribosomal RNA
Rfam family: Bacterial small subunit ribosomal RNA
Source: RNAcentral
GAUGAACGCUAGCUACAGGCUUAACACAUGCAAGUCGAGGGGAAACGACAUUGAAGCUUGCUUCGAUGGUCGUCGACCGGCGCACGGGUGAGUAACGCGUAUCCAACCUGCCUCUGACCAAGGGAUAACCCGUCGAAAGUCGGCCUAAUACCUUAUGCAGUCGUCGGAAGUCAUCUGAUGACGACGAAAGAUUUCAUCGGUGAGAGAUGGGGAUGCGUCUGAUUAGCUUGUUGGCGGGGUAACGGCCCACCAAGGCAACGAUCAGUAGGGGUUCUGAGAGGAAGGUCCCACACAUUGGAACUGAGACACGGUCCAAACUCCUACGGGAGGCAGCAGUGAGGAAUAUUGGUCAAUGGGCGAGAGCCUGAACCAGCCAAGUAGCGUGCAGGAUGACGGCCCUAUGGGUUGUAAACUGCUUUUAGGCGGGGAUAAAGUGAGGGACGUGUCCUUCAUUGCAGGUACCGCAUGAAUAAGGACCGGCUAAUUCCGUG